RNAcentral lists this ribosomal RNA (506 nucleotides) under uncultured bacterium. RNAcentral's name for it is "partial 16S ribosomal RNA". It matches the Rfam family "Bacterial small subunit ribosomal RNA", at positions 28 to 523 of the family's 1533-position model. The record is from RNAcentral.
GAUGAACGCUAGCUACAGGCUUAACACAUGCAAGUCGAGGGGUAACGAGAGGAAAGCUUGCUUUCCUUGUUGACGACCGGCGCACGGGUGAGUAACGCGUAUCCAACCUGCCCCCAACUAGGGAAUAACCUUGCGAAAGUAAGACUAAUACCCUAUAAUUUCCUCAGAUGUCAUCUGACGAGGAAUAAAGAUUUAUCGGUUGGGGAUGGGGAUGCGUCUGAUUAGCUUGUUGGCGGGGUAACGGCCCACCAAGGCAACGAUCAGUAGGGGUUCUGGGAGGAAGGUCCCCCACAUUGGAACUGAGACACGGUCCAAACUCCUACGGGAGGCAGCAGUGAGGAAUAUUGGUCAAUGGGCGGAAGCCUGAACCAGCCAAGUAGCGUGCAGGAUGACGGCCCUAUGGGUUGUAAACUGCUUUUAUACAGGAAUAAAGUUAGCCACGUGUGGUUAUUUGUAGGUACUGUAUGAAUAAGGACCGGCUAAUUCCGUGCCAGCCGCCGCCGCGG